UUUUGUUCGUUCGGCUCGCGUGAG
This 24-nucleotide microRNA is filed under the name Eptesicus fuscus (big brown bat). RNAcentral's name for it is "efu-miR-375". Its record names the gene efu-miR-375. Lineage: Eukaryota; Metazoa; Chordata; Mammalia; Chiroptera; Vespertilionidae. The record is from miRBase by way of RNAcentral.